GACGAACGCUGGCGGCGUGCUUAACACAUGCAAGUCGAACGAAGUGGCGAAAGGGUCAGUAACGCGUAAUCAACCUGCCCUUAAGAGGGAGACAACAGUUGGAAACGACUGCUAAUACCGCAUACUGAAGGAGGGGAUUGCGUCUGAUUCGCUAGUUGGAUGGGUAACGGCCCAUCAAGGCGAUGAUCAGUAGCCUGUCGUAGAGGAUGAACGGCCACAUUGGGCAUGCGACACGGCCCAGACUCCUACGGGAGGCAGCCGUGGGGAGUCUUCCGCAAUGGAAGAAAGUCUGACGGAGCAACGCCGCGUGAGUGAUGACGGCCUUCUGGUUGUAAAGCUCUGUUAUUCGGGACGCGGUACCGGAAUAGAAAGCCACGGCUAACUACGUGCCAGCCGCCGCGGUAAUUC
RNAcentral lists this ribosomal RNA (408 nucleotides) under uncultured bacterium. Its description in RNAcentral is "partial 16S ribosomal RNA". It matches the Rfam family "Bacterial small subunit ribosomal RNA", at positions 28 to 526 of the family's 1533-position model. The record is from RNAcentral.